Molecule: ribosomal RNA, 477 nt
Filed under: Candidatus Scalindua brodae
Lineage: Bacteria; Pseudomonadati; Planctomycetota; Candidatus Brocadiia; Candidatus Brocadiales; Candidatus Scalinduaceae
Description: bacterial SSU rRNA
Rfam family: Bacterial small subunit ribosomal RNA
Source: RNAcentral
UUCGCAAUGCCCGAAAGGGUGACGAAGCGACGCCGCGUGGGUGAGGAAGGCCUUCGGGUUGUAAAGCCCUGUCAGGAGUUAAGAAAUGUAAGUGCGCUAAUAUCGCAUUUAUUUGACGAAGGCUCCAAAGGAAGUCACGGCUAACUCUGUGCCAGCAGCCGCGGUAAUACAGAGGUGGCAAGCGUUGUUCGGAAUUAUUGGGCGUAAAGAGCACGUAGGUGGGUUUGUAAGUCAGAUGUGAAAGCCUUCUGUUCAACGGAAGAAUUGCAUCUGAAACUGCGAAUCUUGAGUAUAGGAGGGGAGAAUGGAACUUCUGGUGGAGCGGUGAAAUGCGUAGAUAUCAGAAGGAACGCCGGCGGCGAAAGCGAUUCUCUGGCCUAUUACUGACACUCAGUGUGCGAAAGCUAGGGGAGCAAACGGGAUUAGAUACCCCGGUAGUCCUAGCCGUAAACGAUGGGCACUAAGUAGAGGGGUUUU